GUUGCUGGCGCCGCUGCCGAGGGGAGCGCGGGGUCCAUGGAGCCGCGGCUGUGAGGCGCCCCCGGCCCGGGCCCGCUGUGGGAGCCGGGCCGAAGCCGGACCCGGGAGCCGCCGGAGCCGAAGGAGAUGGACAAACUGACCAUCAUCUCAGGAUGCCUCUUCCUGGCCGCCGACAUCUUCGCCAUCGCCAGCCUGGCGAACCCGGACUGGAUCAACACCGGCGAGUCCGCGGGUACCUAGUCUAGAACCUGGCCUUUCCUACGUGGUCCCGAGGAGAGGAAUGAGUCACUUUCCUUCCAAAUGUGCAGCAUUCAGGAACUCCCUAGAUGACUUCAUCGUUCCUCCUGUAGCUAAUUGUGAUGAUCUUCCUGCCUAUGGCUACAGAAAAUAGUUGGUUCUUUCCUCUUACAGUUCCACCUAGCAGCAGUGCUACAGUAAUGAAGCCUUCUUCAGGGACUUACAGUCAAAUAAAAUAUCUCCAUUUUAAACAUUUAAGUAUGUAUUUCCUGAGUCCUGCCUCUUGUUGAUAGAUCCUAUGCAAUGUGUGAGAUUCUGUCUGCCUAUACAGAAAUGAGAUUUACCGAAAAAAACUAUUCUGAAUAAAUUGCAGAUGGAAAGAAAGGUCUUUUGGGAACUAAGCACAGUUCAUUACGUUCUUUGGUAAAGAAAAAUGUUUACUAUCUCAUUAUAAUACAAAUUGUAUCCUGAAAUACUAUACCUAGAAAUCAUUAAUUCUUAGUUACUUGAUGGUUACUUAAGAGUCAUCUGCCUCUUCUCUACUGUACUUCUUUUUAGAGGUGCAGAUAACAGUUUUAAUUAGGCUGGCAAACACGAAAUCUGUAUUGAUUUUUCUGAAGGACUUCACUAGUCAAAUAAUGUUUUGACAGACCUAAGCCUUUUUUUGCUAUAUCUUGAAGCCAAACCAAUUGUUGACUUGAUAAAAUCAUAGAGGAGAGCUAGCUGUCAUCCUUUCUUAAUGACUCUUUUGUAGAUUUUUAUUGAUAUGGGAUUCAAGGUACUCUAUUAUAAGACUUCUGGUUAAAAACAAUCUAAAUGUAUAUUUCUAGUAGUUAGACCUUCUAAAAUGAGCCUUUUGCCCAAGGAUGCCCAUUGAAUCAAGGACUUCCUGUAGCCAACACUGUAGCACUGAAUUAUGAGAUAAAUGCUUUUACGAGGGCCGUUUGUUCCCCAAGGCUGCUGUGGAGAAGUUUGGUACAGGAGGACCCUGGUGGCAAAGCCUGUCCCAGCUGCCAGCAGCACUCCAGCACUCUCAGCAGACUACUGUACUUGGACCACAACCAAGCUGUUGAGUUUCCAUAUGUGCCACUAAGAAGCAGGUUUUGAGAAGCAUCCUGCUCUCAGCUGGCUGCAGGAAGUAUUUCUUUGCUUUACCUCUGUGCUCUUAGGUUCAUCUCCUGUGGGGUUAUUCUAGGUUCUGCUUCUACAAGCCACAAGCACCAAGAAGAAAUGGGAGUAAUGCUGUUUCUCUGCUUGGCUGAGGUCCUCGGUGUUCCGAAAAGCAGUGGGGAAUGGCCUGGUCUUCUCAAUACUGCAGCUGUUUGAGAAUUGCAGAGAGCAGAGGUCUUGGCAAACCUGGGAAGGGAGAACUGCAUUGGCUCAUUCAGAGCUGUUUGCAGCCAUUGAGGUUGGGAACCUGGGUUUAUGUUUCAGGAAGAAAAAGUCUGUUCUGAUUUGAAUGCUACACAAUGCGUACAUCUUACUCUAGAGAUAAUGAUGAUUUUCUGCUCAAUUGGAUAGCAAAAUAAAUCACUCGCUUUAAUGCUUUUCUGAAAAAUAUAGAUUGUUUUAAAAAUUUUUUUAAAGGAGCUUGUAUUCUGAGGAAAUCGAUUUAGAGGAAGGGCUGAUUAGUCUUCUAAAUCUUGCUCUUAAAGAUAAGUUUUACAGUCAUUUGAAAAAUGCUGGCUAUAAAAAUUCCUCUUCAGCAUUGCAAUUAUGAGGUCAUUGGAGGUUUCAGAUGCUUAUCUGCCUUCAAGCCAGAGGAACUACACCUUUGUGGAUGGGGGUCCAAGUCUCCAUGGGGCACUUUUUCUUUGCACAGUUUUGUAAGAACUAUUAACUUGGUUUCAGGUGUUUCAUAAAUCUUGAAGAUAAUCAAGGAAAGAUGAAACUUCAAUGGUCUUUUUCAGAGAGUUCUCACUGAGGUUUAGUUAUUUGUGGUGUGCAAGUACACAGCACUGAUAACUCCAACCUGGAAACCAGUGGCUUCUCAGUUUUCUUGCACUGACAUCCUUUUCUUAUCAAACCAGUAUUUUAUGUGAGAAAUAAGGACAGAGUUGGCUUUAAUUUAAGCCAGUGCCUAAGCUCCCACUGAUUUCAGUAGUAAUGAACUUUGCUCCUGUAUCUCUACACUUCUUUUGUGAUGAAGCUUAAAAGCUGGUAGUUUUGUCUCCAUAUGUUCCUUCUGUUUUGUGGGAGGGUCUUUAAUGAUUUUGAUAUUUGUCUUCAGAAGGGGAGGAGGGGGCUGUAAGUUGCUCUGUCUUCAGCUCUCAACCCUUUUGUAGGGAAAAGGGUAUGAAUAGUAUGUACAGUUGAAAUUAGACACAUUAAAAGCUGCACAUGUGGAGGGGUUGACAAUUUAAAAUGCUUUUAGGAUAGGUCAAAUAAUUCAAGAGGAGAAUUUAAUCAGAUAAGAUCCCCCUUCAGUAAGCUAAGCUAGCAGUUUGUUUAUGUGACUUAGUCAUCCGUUCCUACGUAGCGUGAUUGUUCAUUUGAUUCCAAUUUACAGAACAACAUGUACCUUUUUUAUAGCAGUCACUAAGUUAAUAUGGAUGUCAGAAUUUAAGGCUGCUGAACUCUGAUGGGUAGUCUCUAAAGCAAGGAUUUAUCACAUCCUCUCAUGCGGAUGCAUACGUCACAGCAUGGCACACAGCAUCAUGUUAUGGCCGGGCCAUUCAGCAUAUGCAUAAUAGUGCUGGCUUGGGUGAUCCUGGUGUUCAGCAGAGCUUCCAGUUUCAUCUUGCAUCUGUGACAUAAGCAUCAAGGUCACUUGUGUUAGGAAUUACACUUUCCAUUUAAACUGCCUUCUGUACCAUGCUGUGCAGUAACACAGUAGAUAAUGCAUCUACAACAGGCCACUUAUUUUAAAUUGUCUGUUUUGUUUACAAAUGAUGCCUUUCCAUGUACCUUCCAAAGUAUUCUGUGUAGUUCUUGGUUUUGUGUACACAGCUGCUUUUUUUCUUGUGAAGUAUUAUGCUAGAGUGAGUGGUAUGUGUGGUCUUACAGAAGAGCAAGCUAUAGCCAGCAGGCCGUUCCUCCUGAGGCAGUUAUCUCCCUGCUCCUGUGAAAUAAGUUGUCUGGUACCAAGUGGCGAAUUGCUGCUGUUCAGUGUUAUUCCUCUGCAUGUGAUAGCUCCUCCUGAGGAAUUUUCCUCCGCAGUUCCAACAGGAGCUGUAGCUUUGCUGUAGUCAACCUAAUGAAUUAUCCUAGGUGAUGGAACCAAGCAGUGAUUCCCAGCUCCUGCUGAGCUUGAGACCAUAUUGCCACCAAGGUAUUUUUCUCUUCUUGAAGCACUGACUGUACAUGGAAUAAACCCAAGACCACAUUAAGGUACUCAAAUGAACCCAUAUUUCUAAACAGAAUAGAUAGGGUAGGCAAGAACAGAAUAAAUAAAGCACCAACAACUUAAAAGAGGGUGUAAACUUGAGUUCCAGCUAGCACUGUUGUUCUAAAUGCAGUUUGCUAUUCAAAAAGUAGGGAUAUGUAAAAAUCACGAUGGCUUAUUAACACUUACUUCUGCCCUUUAGGGCCUGUGCUGAGAAACUGUUGAUGUACAGUGCUCCUCUGCGGAGAAAUCAUGGUGUAGAGCAAUCACUGUGCUGUCCACCGAAGCAGAUACUAUUUUGUUUUGUUUCUUUCAUAUGUGGAUAGUUGGCUUGUCAAAAACUGUCUGUAAAAGGGUUCUGGUGAUUAUGUGUUAAGGACCUUGCAAUAUACUCAACACACAGCAUGCUUCUCCCGGUUCUUCUCAGUAGAGAAUGAUGGGACAUGAUAGAAAGCAGAUCUACAAAAUUACUUUUUUCCUAAUGUUUUUUGUACUGUAUCAUGUAGUGACAGGAGAAGUUAUUUGCCCUUUCAUGAACCUAUUUGGAUUGCAUGCUGAGAAUACAAAAAAAUAACUAUGGAGUAAUGAUACAGAGAAUGAAGAAUUAUGUACCACCAUGCCCUAGAAAGAAGUAACUGCUGAAAAGCCAUCUCCAAAGCCAUCUGAACAUCAGAGUGUUAAAAUCAGGUCCUGGAACAUAAUUUCUAGGUAACUCUUUCCUUUUGGUAGAUGUGAGCAAGGAGGGAAAGGUGGUGCUCUGUACAUUGCUGAUCUGGACAGUGAGGGGAUUAGGACCUGUACUAAGAGGCAGGCGGUGCUAACAGUACGUGCAUUUUAGAGGGGUUGCCAGUGUCUUAAAAACAACAAUGCAAAAUCCAAAUAAGAACUAGUAAGGAGUGGCAAAGAAUCUAAACCCGAUGUAAUCUGAAUACUCUAAGGAUUAGAGUGUUAUUAGAGUCUGUUAAUAGGUGUGCCUGGACUGGGAGCGUCAGUGCCAUCUUUAAAAUUAACACUUCCAUUCCACCUCGUGACUGGAGAUGUCUAUCAAGUGGAUGUAAAAAUCUUACAAAGCAGAAUGUUGGACUUGGGCUCUGGUUCUGUAAUAGUCCAGGCCUUAAGGGACAAGAAAAAUUAAUAAUAAGGCAUUGUUGUAAUGAAUUAAUUUUGUGCUUGCUCAACUGCUCUGCAUUUAAACAUAUGGAACUAUUUUAUAUGUAGGAAGAAUUUCAUGAAAGAGAGCUGUGUCAGCCUGGUUAUUCGAGCCUGCCAGAGCAGAGAUGGGAGAGCCGGUUGUUUUUGUCCAUAGAGGAACUGAUGUUUUACAUCUGCUUUUUAACAAAUACAAAUUCAUACUGCUUCUUUUAGAUGAACGUUUUGUUUUCUCUUUAGUGUGUGAAGGUACUAAACUAUUAGUUUGCCUUCCACCAAAUGCUGUUGAAUUCCUCAUUCUCUAAUUAAUGUGGUAAAAAAUACCUGAUUACAGAGUACAGAUCUGGGAGACAGUAACUUGUAGUUACCUUUCAAAUCUAGCAUGACUUACCCUGGAUCUCAGAAAGUUAUUGUUAGAAUGGUGCGACAUCAGUUUCUUUCCUCUGUAAAAUAGAGGUGGUGUCUUUAUCACAUAAACUUCUGUUAGCAUUAGCAGUAAAGCUUUAAUUUGAUUUAAAAAAACACUUUUGUUUCCUAUCACAGUUUUGCUUUCUUAGAGGAAGAAAAGUCUAAGAAUAACAGAUAUUUCAUUUGUCUUUUCUGAUACUGCAUGUUUUUACUAAAAUACUUGAGUUGCAUGUAUUUGGAAUAACUUCUUUUCUUCAAAGUAUUUACUUCACAGUAGUAUGUACAAUUACUAUAGAACUAAGUCCUAUUCGGUAUCUGCAGGUAGAUUGUUUUCUGUCUAUCCUAUGCUUUACUCAAGAAGUAUGGAGCUGUAAAUGUGCUUUAUAGAUAGUACAAACUGUGGGAAGGAUACCUCCUUGAGACGGCAGCUUUGUGGCUUCAGAACUAUCUGCAUUUCGCUAAUCGUGAUGGGUUUUUUUGAGUCAACUUAGAGCUGAUUUUAGGUCUGUGUAUUACAUUUGCUGCCACAAUAUGACACUGAAAUUAACACAAGAGUGACUUAAAUAUAUGAAUCUUUAAGGACUCCAUAGUCUGUACCACAAAACAAAGAUUUAAAGUUGUCUGAUUUUUUUUUUUUAAAGGAAUCCUGUUAAUGACCGAAGGUUAUUAAAAACACUUGUAAGUGCUGGCUGGAAACAGAACGAUACAUGUGAGCAGCAUUAUGUAAACUCCAUUUGUACUUUUGCCAAAGCAAAGAAGAUCAGUAGGUCGAACUUUUAAGCCUGACCUACUUUUUUUAUAGGUACGUCACAACAGCUCAACUUUUUCCCACUAAUUUUCUUGCUGGUCAUGAGCCAAAGCAGAGAGAACUAACUUUUCUUGGCAGCUGCAGUAUGUAGGAUUUUCAUCUUAGGCAGGAGUUCUCUACCUAGUUCUUGAAUCCUUUUUGACCAAUGGGCGAUACCUGUGUAUUUCAGAAGGACAUAACUAGAGUGAUGCAUGGAUGAGGAGGAAUAUUGACCUUUGAAGAGGUUAAAUGCUGCUGUCUAUUUUAAAAUCAAAUGCAAAAUGGUGUUUGUAGUAUGGUGGAACAAGUACUAUAGGGAGGCUGUUUUAACUUCUUGUACAAAGUUAUUUGGGAAAAUGAUAAAUUAUUAUAAAUUCAUAGUUUAUACUAUUUUAAAUUUUAAAAUCAGUUUAUUAUAAUUAUAAGCUGUUAUUGUAAUUCACAGUGCCUAUUAAUGGACAGAGUCUUUUUUUUAAUGAGGGCUAUAUGCAGGAAAAAAGUUCUCUGGUAGUUUCGCAGCAGUCCCCUUAUGUGUUCUGCAGCUGCUUUGCUCAAUCUCACUUUUCUUCCCCAAGCCUCUGACUGAUGGAGAUAUACACACAUCUGAAAAACUGGAGAUGUGGCCAAGAAGAGGAUCUGUGCAGGAGAUAUUGUAAAUUGCAGCAUGAAGAGAUAAUCUUCUUAAGCACAGACAGCGACCAAUGAUAUUGCCACAGUCAGUGGAAGCGUCAGCUCCCGAACUGCCACAAUGGAAGAUGUUGAUCUCCUGUCUUGCAGAGGAGAACACGCUCUGCACAUGUUGUGUGCUGGAGGGGAAGAGAAGUCACAAAGGUGAAGAAAGAGAUUUUUUGUUUUCCUUAGGUUGAAUUCUGUUCUGAAACUUAUCAUACACCUAAAUGCACUUGUUAAUGAUGUAGUUCUCCAUGGUAGAAACUCGUGUGGGAAGAAGCGUGUUUCACUUUGUUUUUUAAACCCAGACUUAAUUCAAUUUAAAAGCUACACAACAAGAUUGUACAGGAAACCUGAAAAGAUUGAAUGGCCAAGAAUUUCUAAUGUGGCCUCAUAAAUUCUUUCAGUGGAACAUUAUUGGGUCACUUGGCAAUUACAAGAAGUACUCUGAAGCUUAAUACAUAAAAAUGGUGAAAUAAAGAGAGUAAAGGCUAGAAGUAGUAGUAGUUGUUUUACAAACAGAAGUUUGUUGACUUAUGCCCGGUGUAAUCUGAAGUAAAUGCUCUCUGUAAGUACAUGUUCAGUCAGAUAAGUUGGUGAUAAAGACAGAGCAUUUCUUGCCUUUUUAUAUUGAAUCCAAAAUUAGAGAGAAUUCUGUUUCAGAAUGUCAGUAUAACAACUGUAUAAACAUAUGUUAGCAGAUAUGUUCUUUGGAGCACUAUAAAACAUCUGAUUCCUUUUUAAGAAUAGUCCCACUUGUUCAGCUCUGCUGUUAAGAUAAAGUCAUAUUUUAUUUCAAUAAAGUGCAAAUUUAACUGUUCAGGAGUGGUCUGUCUUAUUCUAGCAAAAAUAAAAAAGUCUCUAGACUCUUACAGUCUAUUUUUGUAGAUGUAGAUUUGUGAUAAGGGAGCAAGUGUUAUCAGCACACAGACAGCACCUGUUAAUUGCCUCAGUAAUUCAGGCCUAAAUUGUGCAGGCUUCUGAAACAAGAACUUGCCCUAGCAAAAGGGAUAAGAAAAUAUAACUUCAGGAUAAAUCAUGAAUAUGGUUGCUACCUUGCUAUUCUUUUUUGGGUUUAAUGUUUUUGUUAUGAUGGGAAAAACAAGUAAAUGCCUAAAUUUGAGAAUUAUUACUGCAGGAGGAGUUGGUGUGGGGGUUUUGUGUGUUUGGUUUUGUUUGUGGAGUUUUGCUUUUCGUUUUUUGUUUGUGCGGGUUUGGGGUUCCUUUGGUUUUUUGUUUGUGUUGUUGUUUGUUGAUUUUUUUUUUUUGUGGGUUUUUUUUUCCCCCUCCAAUUUGCCUGGGAAGUUAAAGCUAACUUUUAAACUUGGGAGGGGCUUAAAAUGUUAAUCAGCCAGGAAACUUUGCUGGCUGGUCUUGAGGACAGAUUGUAUGCAGUUAAGCGAUACCUCAGUCUGUCUUUCAGCACAUCAAGUGUUACUUGUAGAUAAUAAAUUCUUUGUUGGCCCUGUACCUAAUCCCUAUUUAAAGUGCCGUUUAACCUGUAUUGCCAGUGGUUACAAGCACGUCGUAUACAGAUUUGGCAACGCUUAAAAAGCACCUUUAGGAAUAAAAACUAACAUUAGGUUUUAUUCGACUUGAAAUGUUACUUCAGUUGCAAUGAAACACGUGUUGGGACAUUUCAGUGCCAUUCUUCAAUUGAUAGAGAUGCCUUAUGAAAUAAAGCAAGUCUAGUAGACAGAGAGAUAGAAUCUUUUAUAUCCCCAAUCAGUAGAGUGGGGGAAACUUGUGCGUCCAAGGAAGGGAUUGCAAGACCAGAAAUGUGCUUCAUCUUUCCAGUAAUUGUAGUUGUUCUAAUAAAAGGUACUACUACCUGCAAACUCGCCUUCUCACGUCCUCGUUGCUGUAAAUACAAUCCUGCCAUCAGUUAUAUGAUUUAAAGUAAUUGCCACUAAGUCGCUAGAACAUUUGAUUUGCUCUUUGAAAAUUUUGCUCUUUGUUUAGCUGGGUCUGUUGUACUUUCUGGUAGUCUGGGCCUAAAAUGGGCUCUCAGCAGUGGAUCAGGAGAAAGUUAGGCUCAGCUGUAAGAAAGCAUUCGAGCACAUAAGGUGUAUUUAGGCUGAGUGUUUGCAGAACAGACACCUAAAAUUUGCAAAUAUGUUUCUAACCAUAUAAAUGCCCAAAGGCAUUUCAACCCAUCUCUUUUCACCUUACACCGUGGUUGAUUCAUGAGGCCAUGGAAGAGCCAGAUCAGUGGGUGUCCUUGGAGCAUGUCUGAUGCAAGCUGAGAUCAGCGCACAGCACAACAGUAGGAUCCUUAUUCCUCCUGAAUUUCAUUUGAUCAAAUGCACAAGCAAUAUUGAGGGCAGGGCCAGAACCUGAAUUUUCUGCCUGCCCUUGAAUGCCCUUGUCACUAGGCUGGAGAAAUUGCUUUAGACAGUAACCAGGAAGGCUGACAGAUAUUUCGUGUUCAUGAAUGAAGAGGGAGAACCAUAGGGUACUUCACUUGGUGUGAUUUGGGGGUUUCGGUACACCUGUCCUGCUCUGCUUCGACAUCUAUUAAAUUUGGAAGUCUGCUGACUUGGUGAAGUGUGAUUUUAGACAUGCAGGAGUUAAGAGUGGAGAGCUCUGAGGGUUAGUUAUUGCCAGCCCGUGAACAGCUUGCCUUUUAAGACACCUAUGAGAAACAUGAUCCACAAAACUGCGAAGAUGCAGAACUUGUGUUCUUGCUGGUUGGGUUGUCUUUGUACCACGUGGCAAACGCUGGUGCCACCAUGGCCAACCCAGCCCGGCCACCUCCUGUCACCGGCUGCCGCAGGUGCUGCCCGGCCCGCACGAGCCUGCACAUCAGCCGCACGCUUGGGAAGUGGUUGCAGACCAUUUCUGAGCAGGUUGGUGUGGGGUUGUGUGGCCUAUUGGAUGGAGAGGUGUCAUUUCACAGCUCUGGCUGAAGCCAGAUAUAACUCUGUUAAAAAGAACACAGGCUCAUCAGAUGCGAAAUGGCAGAACAGCUGUAGGUGUCACAGCUUCUGGCUUUCAGCUGAACAUAUGGCAUAGAACUGGUGUAGCUGACUAGAAAAAUCACUUUUAAAUAUUGACGCUGCCUUUGAUCUUUCUUUUUUUUAGGCAGUGAAUUCUGUCAAAUUUGAGUAGCUCUAUUUUGGUUGGGGGGAAAAUCAAAAUAACUAUGGAUUUUUUUUGUUUGUUUUUUAAGCUAAAUAAAACAUUAAGCUUGCUUUCUUUUGUUUUUAAAGUUAUCUCUUUUUUCCAGGCCCUUGUGACUUCAGAAACUGUGAAGAUUCUAGAGAUUCUAGUCACUGACAACACUAUCCUAUUGUGAAAAUGCUUAUAGUGUCAGGAAAGAAACAACCAGAAGGAUGCAACUUAUUAGAGAUCCUGUUUACCAACGUUUACUGAAUGUUGCCUUCUGAAGCAGGAAAAAAUACCUUCAGCGUGGGCAGAUUUCUUGGCUCUGGCAUGUGAGAACACACAGAGCUUUGUUAUGUCCUCAGGAGAGUUGUUCCUGCAUUGUUGCCUGAGGAUAGUGCGUGGUGGUCCAUCUCUUCUGAGAACAAACAAACACUCACAACAAUAACAAAAAAAACCACCACCAAAACAAACACACCCCAGUACACCAGCAGCAUAGCAUUGAAACUUGUAUGUUAGAAUUCAGAAAUAAACUUGGUUUUAAUUCGUCCAAAUGUCAGGAUUUAAAUAUCACUUACAACUCAUACAUCAUAAUGAUUGUCAUGUGUAGUAAUAAACUUUUCUAAUAUGUAUAAGUCAUAAGGAUCUUUCCCAAUAGAUGGCCCCUGAUUUUUAUUUUUCUUCCCUCUUUGGGGGUGGGAGGAGGGGGAAGACCGUGUGUUUUUGUGGAAAGGGGAAUUUGGUUUGAAUUAGGCAUGAUACAAACACUGAAUUGAAAACUUCUGAGACAACUCAGGCACCAGAUGGUGUUCAGCAGCAAGGCAGACUUUUCUGCUAAUAUACUGCAACUCUGUUAACAGGGAGUUUAGACUUUAAAAAUGAGAAUUCUUCUGUUGAAAAGCCGGUAAGCUUUGGAGUUCUAAAGAGUGCCAAAAAUGGUACCUAAUAAAUUAAAUUCUCUGGACGUUUGCUUGUUAAAUAGAAUUCAAUCGUUAGGUUUCUCAUAGGUAGCAUAAGCUGGGUUUGAAGUUGGGGAUGUUACCUCACCUAUUGUUGCCAAUAUGAGUAUUUUUAAGAAAGUCGCUUAGUUCCUGAAGCAAGGAAAUCCCUUUGCAUCUCUAGAGCAAGAUGGAUGGAUUUCACAGCUGGUUUGAAAGGGGGAGAACAUUCUGAUUUCAGAGAAGGGGAUAAAUGGAGUAGAAGUGAAAUAGUAGCUUAUAUAAUAACAUGCUCUGUCUUGCAAUAUGGCUUUGAAUUGCUCUUAAAAGAUGCAUUCUAGAUAUAGCAAGGACUUUGCAAGUAAAUCUAACUCUAUUAAAACUGAUCUUUUAACAUGGUAUAAAUACUUUCUAGGUGUUUGUUUCCUAUCAAUAAAUAUGCAGUGGGCAUAUGAAUUGAUCUUGCAUCAGGUCUGCCUCAAAAUGAGAAACUCCAGAGCUUUUCUUCUGGGGUUACAAUACCUAGUAGAAUAUUUGAGAGACAAAUCAGAGUGAAUGCCAAAACCAUAAGAUUUGGCAUACAAAGGACUGGAAAGAUAAUUCAUAAUCCCUUUGUUUUGAAUGCCUCGAUGUUCUGUGCCUUUGCAAUUAAUGCUCCGUUACUCUUUUAAGCUUUUCUCUCGAUCAUCCUUUAACAUUCAUAAAUCUUACUUUAGAAAGUCUGAACUCGGUUGCCUCUUAAGCUUCUAACUGAACAACAUACUGGAACAUCGGCAGUGAAAGAAUCAGUCUGUCAUGCCACAUCCUGAACACCGUAUUCAUAUGAUAACCUUGAAAUUAUUUCAGCAGCAUAAGUACUAAAGAGCAUCUAUUCAAACUACCUCCAUCCCUUACAAAAUAAGUAUCAGUAACAGAUAUGGUAUUCUCAUGCUUGACUGGAAACUGACACUUGAUCCUGUCUUAUAUUUUGAUUCUUCAAUAUACCGUCUUGUAGUUAUUUAAGUAUAAUCCAGUUAUUGUGUUGUUCUGUAACGAUGACCUAAACCAAAGAAGUCAAGGAAAUUGUGUUCAACUUGCUUAUAGUUACUUAGCUGCAGUUAAUUAUGUGUAUGUGCUAUUUUACAAAAUGCUCUGAUAUUACAUUAUUUGAGGCUGUAAGCAUUUAAAAAUGGCUUUAAUGGGUCAAUAGCUGAAAAUAUAGACGAGGACUAACUAUAUGUCCUUUUACAAAGUUAUAAGUCUCAGCAGUUGUAGAUACAAAAAAAAAUUCUAUGAGCUGUGCCUGUGGGUGUCAUUCAGUGUGGUUGUUUAACUGUUACAACCUGGACCAUGCCUUUUAGAAUCAAGAGGUCUUCCUCAGUGUUACUCAUCCUUUUACCCUCCCUGGUUUUGAAGUGCUUUGCAAACCAGCAGGUUCUGUAUCAUCAUCUUCAUACCAGCAAUGGUGCAUAUCCUGCAAAAGCACAGCUUAUUCCCUAACCUCUGCACUGGUUACUGCAACUGUGACUAAUCUUGUAAGCGAGGAUACAGGGCCUGAUUUUGAUGGAGUUUUACACAGGAAUAAGUAGAAGUAACUAUGUUCACCCUGGAGUACCUCCCAGGCUGUGGUAGGGAAGGGGCAGCAGCGUCAGUUCCCUGGAUUUCGGGAAGGGCAGGAGGGAGAGUACUCAGUUUCCAAGGAACUAAUAUUUGGGAUAUAGAAUUACUAGAAUUUUCCCUCAAAACAAAAUACAUAUAAAUAAACCUAAAUAAGUCAUUCUCUCUUUCCCUUUUGUAUGGUAACAUCACUUAAAGUGCCCAUUGCAGGAAAAUAAAUUCCAUAUGUAAGACUGGGUAAUAUCCCACUCAAACUGCCAAAUUCCUUGGAUGACUUUGAAAAAUUUCCUUCUUGGAGAUACCUCCUCCUUGUUUGCUGUUAGGGACAGUUGCAUUGGAGCUAUUCUUACCAUGCUC
Columba livia (rock pigeon) is the source of this 12571-nucleotide RNA transcript. It is a transcript of the gene named modulator of smoothened, with no coding region annotated. The record is from RefSeq and is a predicted model, not a curated record. Lineage: Eukaryota; Metazoa; Chordata; Aves; Columbiformes; Columbidae. The transcript is spliced from 3 exons.